UAAUAUGUAAGAUUUGUCUAAACGAGUCGAAAGAUUUCUUUGGCAAAGACACACAACACUAUUCGACAAUUCAGACAUCAAAAACCAUUCAUUUGGUUUGCCGUGUUUGAUUGACGAAUAUAAUAUUUAACCCCACAUAAACAAACCCAAAUUUUGACUAAUCAAAUAUUACAAAUGCCAAUCCGUUUGAUUCAAUUCACUUUGAACAAAUCGAUUUUGAUAUUUACGUUAACUAUGAACAACUCUUAGCAACGGAUAUCUUGGUUCUCGUAACGAUGAAGAACGAAGCGAACUUCGAUACGUAAUACGAAUUGCAGAAUUCAGUGAAUCAUCAAAUUUUUGAACGCAAAUUGCGCUCUCGGGAUAUCCCUGGGAGCACGCCUCUCUGAGUAUCGGUUCUAUCCAUCUCAACGACGUUUUUCUCUAAGGAAAACGUGCAGUUGGAAAUUGAGCAUUGUCUCGCCUGAUUCAACUUCGGGCGAGUCGCUUCAAGGAUAGCGAGUCGAAAUACAAUAAGCUCGCAGCCCCAGUUGACAUUGAAUUUAGUAAGUGCUCUGUCACUUUCCCCACUUCUCUGUCG
Molecule: small RNA, 580 nt
Filed under: uncultured eukaryote
Lineage: Eukaryota
Description: eukaryotic LSU rRNA
Rfam family: 5.8S ribosomal RNA (bases 241-395)
Source: RNAcentral